GACAACGCCCGGCUUAACCGGGCGAGGCCAGUGAAGACUGGCAGGCUGGAGGCUGGCAGAGGGGUGCAGAAUUCCGGGUGUAGCGGUGAAAUGUGUAGAGAUCCGGAGGAAUACCAGUGGUGCAGACGGCGCCCUGGGCCAGACCUGACGCUGAGACGCGAAAGCGUGGGGAGCGAACGGGAUUAGAGACCCCGGUAGUCCACGCCGUAAACGAUGUGAACUGGGUGUGCACCACGCACUGCGUGGGGUGUGCCGAAGCUAACGCGUUAAGUUCACCGCCUGGAGAGUACGGUCGCAAGGCUAAAACUCAAAGGAAUUAACGGGGGCCCGCACAAGCAGCGGAGCGUGUGGUUUAAUUCGAGGCUACACGAAGAACCUUACCCGGGUUUGACAUGGCGGUGGUAGCGACCUGAAAGGGAAGCGACCUUCGGGAGCCGUCACAGGUGCUGCAUGGCUGUCGUCAGCUCGUGUCGUGAGAUGUUCGGUUAAGUCCGAAAACGAGCGCAACCCUCGGGUCGUGUUAUACGUGUCACGACCGACUGCCCGCGACAAGCGGGAGGAAGGUGGGGAUGACGUCAAGUCAGCAUGGCCUUUAUAUCCGGGGCGACACACACGCUACAAUGGCUGGUACAAUCGGUUGCAAACCCGCGAGGGGGAGCCAAUCCGGAAAGCCAGUCACAGUUCGGAUUGCAGGCUGCAACUCGCCUGCAUGAAGUCGGAGUUGCUAGUAACCGCAGGUCAGCCAUACUGCGGUGAAUACGUUCCCGGGCCUUGUACACACCGCCCGUCACGUCAUGGGAGCUGGUCACGCCUGAAGCCGGUGGGCUAACCGCAAGGGGGCAGCCGUCGAAGGCAGGGCUGGUGACUGGGACGAAGUCGUAACAAGGUAGCUGUAGCGGAAGCUGCGGCUGGAUCACCU
This 919-nucleotide ribosomal RNA is filed under the name uncultured bacterium. RNAcentral's name for it is "bacterial SSU rRNA". It matches the Rfam family "Bacterial small subunit ribosomal RNA", at positions 596 to 1528 of the family's 1533-position model. The record is from RNAcentral.